UCUGAGUUGGGUUAGGUAACGAGUAUGUGAUGGCAAGACGGACUUCUUGGUGGGCUAUCCGAUCAGAUUUGAGAGCUUCGGGAAUCCAUUGAGUUGUCUUUGAUGAAUCCGGAGCUCUUUAUAAGGGUCGGCAUUAAACCGCCAAAGGGUGUUCUUCUUUAUGGACCCCCUGGUACGGGCAAGACCUUGCUAGCUAGAGCAAUUGCCAGUAAUAUAGAUGCCAAUUUCUUAAAGGUAUUGUUUUUGCAUUUAUGGACUGCAAA
This is a long non-coding RNA of Helianthus annuus (common sunflower), 263 nucleotides long. RefSeq lists it as uncharacterized. The record is from RefSeq and is a predicted model, not a curated record. Lineage: Eukaryota; Viridiplantae; Streptophyta; Magnoliopsida; Asterales; Asteraceae. The transcript is spliced from 3 exons.